Molecule: ribosomal RNA, 434 nt
Filed under: uncultured bacterium
Lineage: Bacteria
Description: bacterial SSU rRNA
Rfam family: Bacterial small subunit ribosomal RNA
Source: RNAcentral
GAACGCGAAGAACCUUACCUACCCUUGACAUGCCAGGAAGCCCGCAGAGAUGUGGGUGUGCCCGAAAGGGGACCUGGACACAGGUGCUGCAUGGCUGUCGUCAGCUCGUGUCGUGAGAUGUUGGGUUAAGUCCCGCAACGAGCGCAACCCUUGCCAUUAGUUGCUACAUUCAGUUGGGCACUCUAAUGGGACCGCCGGUGACAAACCGGAGGAAGGUGGGGAUGACGUCAAGUCCUCAUGGCCCUUAUGGGUAGGGCUUCACACGUAAUACAAUGGUCGGUACAGAGGGCUGCCAACCCGCAAGGGGGAGCUAAUCCCAGAAAGCCGAUCGUAGUCCGGAUUGUAGUCUGCAACUCGACUGCAUGAAGCCGGAAUCGCUAGUAAUCGCGGAUCAGCAUGUCGCGGUGAAUACGUUCCCGGGUCUUGUACACACC